GGGGAAUAUUGCACAAUGGGGGAAACCCUGAUGCAGCGACGCCGCGUGAAGGAUGAAGUGUUUCGGCAUGUAAACUUCUAUCAGCAGGGAAGAAAAUGACGGUACCUGACUAAGAAGCCCCGGCUAACUACGUGCCAGCAGCCGCGGUAAUACGUAGGGGGCAAGCGUUAUCCGGAUUUACUGGGUGUAAAGGGAGCGUAGACGGUUGUGCAAGUCAGAUGUGAAAGUCCAGGGCUCAACCCUGGGACUGCAUUUGAAACUGUGCAACUAGAGUGUCGGAGAGGUAAGUGGAAUUCCUAGUGUAGCGGUGAAAUGCGUAGAUAUUAGGAGGAACACCAGUGGCGAAGGCGACUUACUGGACGAUAACUGACGUUGAGGCUCGAAAGCGUGGGGAGCAAAC
RNAcentral lists this ribosomal RNA (400 nucleotides) under uncultured bacterium. RNAcentral describes it as "bacterial SSU rRNA". It matches the Rfam family "Bacterial small subunit ribosomal RNA", at positions 356 to 773 of the family's 1533-position model. The record is from RNAcentral.